Molecule: long non-coding RNA, 1629 nt
Filed under: Pan troglodytes (chimpanzee)
Lineage: Eukaryota; Metazoa; Chordata; Mammalia; Primates; Hominidae
Description: long non-coding RNA NONPTRT011509
Source: RNAcentral
CUCCGUUGGCUUCUUCACGAGUGACAACCAUGUUUUCCCAGAUAGAAGACCGGAGCCCUGCUCCUUUGCGAUCCGCCGAGGGCUGCAGAGAGCAUCCUCAUCCAUUUGGGCACCCCUGCCCAGGAAGAGCCCGGCCAUCCCUUUCCAGACUGGAUCCUUAAGAGGUGAAUUUUCUUCCGUGGAUUCCGAUUUGCUCCGUCUGACCAGCCUAGGCAAUCCAGCAUCGCGUGGUACCAGUGCCGCUGGGCACACUCGCUUCACGCCGGCUCCGCCUCACCAGCAAGCGCAUUCCCAGGUGGUCAGGCUCAGGAUGGACCAUGAGCUUUCAAAAAGGAAAAAGGUGGAAAUCCUCAACUAUGCUGCCAUCUGAAUAAGUGUUUCUUUGUAGAUGCACAGAGUCAAGGAAAAUUACAUCCCUGCAUUAUGUAAUGUGCCAACAACGCACUUACCCACUGUUUUAAUCUAGGUUAUUCUUGAAAGCAGAGCAUGAGACAAAGGUAGACACAUUCUAUUUAUGAGUCUAACACCCAGGAGCAGGAAUGAGAGAUAGGGGAGUGAACAUGGGGAAAAGGGAAACUAAGUCCAAGCACAACCAGAUACUGCUCUUAUCAAGUGGUCCACCCCUAUUAAUGGCGACAUAAUGCAGAACUUUCUCAGGAUUCUUCUUAAACUUUAUCUCAGAACUGUCUGCCUCAGGGAGAAAGGAGAAGUAUUUCUCCAUCAGCAGCCACCUCCUGUGUGUUGAGGGCUGCUCCUUUGGGGCAUUAACCCACUGCCUCCACCACCCCAACCCUCUGGGCUGCAAAGAGCUAGCUGACAGUCCAGCUGGUACCUUAGCAUCACACAUUGCUGCAUCAGAGAGGUCUUAAGACAGGAAGCUAGAGUCUUGGUGCAUGCUCGAAGUGAGAUGGUGUCAGCACAGAGCAGGGUAAAAUCUUCCCGUUAACUGUUCACCAGAGCUAUGACUGGAAUCAGAGGUUGAAAAGAUGUGAGACUGUACCCAAGAAGCAUCUUAUAAGCCUACGUAAUAUACUGUUAGACUCAUCGAAAUCUAUUUCCUCCCUUCUUUAUAAUCAAAACUUCAGUGUCCAGAAUAAAGUUGGCAGAAGGGUUAAAUUGGAAAGUUAAAUGUACUAGAAGGUGUACAUUUAUAACUUUUGACCUUGAGUCAUGUUCAAGGAGAAAGUGACAUUGGAACUUGGAAAAUUUAAAAAUGAUUCUACUUGAAAAAUUUGACCAUUGCAUAGAAAUAUUAGCUAUCGUCUAAUCUUUUGUAAUCUUAGAAACAAUCGUGAAUUGUUUGGUGAAAAAUGAAAAAAUAACCAUUUCUUAUGUCUCUGUGACCUUUAUAGACCAAUGUCACUAACUUUUCCUAAGGUAAUUGUUUCCUACUGUCAAAUAGCUCUAGUGAUAUAAAUCUUAACAAUCAAUGAAGGGAAAACUGGUGGAAACAUAGGAAGAAAAAUACUGGGAUAAUUUUCAUCACAAAGUAUUGGCAUUAACAUUGGUUAGAAUAGGGGAGAAACUGCAUGACUUGACAAGUGGACAUUCCUGUAUGUUGUAUGAGGCCCUGUCUUAACAGAAAUAGUGAUGUCAUCAUCAUCCUCUCUUAUUUGGUCUUGAAUUGCC